GGGGGUAUAACUCAGUGGUAGAGUGCUCGCUUUGCAUGCGAGAAGUUUGGGGUUCGAUCCCCCAUUCCUCCA
This is a non-coding RNA of Caenorhabditis brenneri, 72 nucleotides long. Lineage: Eukaryota; Metazoa; Nematoda; Chromadorea; Rhabditida; Rhabditidae. The record is from Rfam.